This 743-nucleotide ribosomal RNA is filed under the name uncultured bacterium. Its description in RNAcentral is "bacterial SSU rRNA". It matches the Rfam family "Bacterial small subunit ribosomal RNA", at positions 52 to 777 of the family's 1533-position model. The record is from RNAcentral.
UACAUGCAAGUUGAACGCUGAAGACUGGUACUUGUACCGGUUGGAUGAGUAGCCAAUUUUGUGAGUAACGCGUGGGUAACCUACCUCUUAGCGGGGGACAACUAUUGGAAACGAUAGCUAAUACCGCAUAACAAUACUUAACACAUGUUAAGUAUUUGAAAGCACCAAUUGGUGCACUAAGAGAUGGACCCGCGUUGUAUUAGCUAGUUGGUAGUGUAAUGGACUACCAAGGCGAUGAUACAUAGCCGACCUGAGAGGGUGAUCGGCCACAUUGGGACUGAGACACGGCCCAAACUCCUACGGGAGGCAGCAGUAGGGAAUCUUCGGCAAUGGACGAAAGUCUGACCGAGCAACGCCGCGUGAGUGAAGAAGGUUUUCGGAUCGUAAAACUCUGUUGUUAGAGAAGAACGUCAGUGAGAGUGGAAAGUUCACUGAGUGACGGUAUCUAACCAGAAAGGGACGGCUAACUACGUGCCAGCAGCCGCGGUAAUACGUAGGUCCCGAGCGUUGUCCGGAUUUAUUGGGCGUAAAGCGAGCGCAGGUGGUUUAAUAAGUCUGAUGUAAAAGGCAGUGGCUCAACCAUUGUGUGCAUUGGAAACUGUUAGACUUGAGUGCAGUAGAGGAGAGUGGAAUUCCAUGUGUAGCGGUGAAAUGCGUAGAUAUAUGGAGGAACACCGGUGGCGAAAGCGGCUCUCUGGACUGUAACUGACACUGAGGCUCGAAAGCGUGGGUAGCAAACAGGA